RNAcentral lists this ribosomal RNA (253 nucleotides) under uncultured bacterium. Its description in RNAcentral is "partial 16S ribosomal RNA". It matches the Rfam family "Bacterial small subunit ribosomal RNA", at positions 524 to 776 of the family's 1533-position model. The record is from RNAcentral.
UACAGAGGGGGCAAGCGUUGUUCGGAAUUACUGGGCGUAAAGGGCGCGUAGGCGGCCUGUUAAGUCGAACGUGAAAUCCCCGGGCUCAACCCGGGAACUGCGUCCGAUACUGGCAGGCUUGAAUUCGGGAGAGGGAUGCGGAAUUCCAGGUGUAGCGGUGAAAUGCGUAGAUAUCUGGAGGAACACCGGUGGCGAAGGCGGCAUCCUGGACCGAGAUUGACGCUGAGGAGCGAAAGCGUGGGGAGCGAACAGG